GGCCUUGACAUCCAGAGAACUUAGCAGAGAUGCUUUGGUACCUUCGGGAACUCUGAGACAGGUGCUGCAUGGCUGUCGUCAGCUCGUGUUGUGAAAUGGUUGGGUUAACGUCCGCAACGAGCGCAACCCUUAUCCUUUGUUGCCAGCGGUUCGGCCGGGAACUCAAAGGAGACUGCCGGUGAUAAACCGGAGGAAGGUGGGGAUGACGUCAAGUCAUCAUGGCCCUUACGGCCAGGGCUACACACGUGCUACAAUGGCGCAUACAAAGAGAAGCGACCUCGCGAGAGCAAGCGGACCUCAUAAAGUGCGUCGUAGUCCGGAUUGGAGUCUGCAACUCGACUCCAUGAAGUCGGAAUCGCUAGUAAUCGUAGAUCAGAAUGCUACGGUGAAUACGUUCCCGGGCCUUGUACACACCGCCCGUCACACCAUGGGAGUGGGUUGCAAAAGAAGUAGGUAGCUUAACCUUCGGGAGGGCGCUUACCACUUUGUGAUUCAUGACUGGGGUGAAGUCGUAACAAGGUAGGCGUACGUGU
Molecule: ribosomal RNA, 533 nt
Filed under: uncultured bacterium
Lineage: Bacteria
Description: bacterial SSU rRNA
Rfam family: Bacterial small subunit ribosomal RNA
Source: RNAcentral